CCCUCUUCACCCUCUUUCAUUCAGCAGGUUUUUUACUAUUUAUCUUUUUUACAUAUUUAUUUAGUAUUUAGAGCUAGCAUGAAACAAGGGUUCCUUUUAUCUGGUGCUUUCUUUAAUCUUCUCAUCGGAAAGAUCUUACUCCAAACCUUAAAUCCAUAACAACGGAAAAAUCACAGUUGUCAAUUGGGGUUUUCUUUAUUUAUACACUAUUUUUUUUCUUCUUUUCUUCCUUCCUCUCAGAAAAUUUGGAAAACAAAAAGAAAGGAGAACAAUUUAUGAAAAGUUAUAGGUUUAUUGAUCUAUACUUCCAUAAGUUGCCACAUGGCCACAAGGAAGAAGAUCUAUACUUCUAUUCUUCAUCAUUUUUCUUGUUCUUAUUUGUUUUCUUCUUUUUUUUUUAUCGGAGAAAUAAAUUUUAAUAAACCCAGUCAUACAAAUUAUGAAUAGGACCACAACUGAAUUACAUAACAGUAUCUUUCUUGUUCUUAAUCUUCUUAGUACUCCUAUCAGGGGUGGAUGGAGGUAGAGGACAGCAUAGGCACUUGCCUAGCUAUAUUCACUUUUUUUUUUACAGGUAAACUGAAGAGAAUUUAUAAGUUAGUAAACUUAAGAGGACAGAUUAAUAAAAGUUAAACUUAGAGGGG
Molecule: long non-coding RNA, 644 nt
Filed under: Panax ginseng (ginseng)
Lineage: Eukaryota; Viridiplantae; Streptophyta; Magnoliopsida; Apiales; Araliaceae
Description: long non-coding RNA (PGIN_LNC017294)
Source: RNAcentral